RNAcentral lists this ribosomal RNA (458 nucleotides) under Escherichia coli. Its description in RNAcentral is "partial 23S ribosomal RNA". It matches the Rfam family "Bacterial large subunit ribosomal RNA", at positions 1286 to 1746 of the family's 2925-position model. Lineage: Bacteria; Pseudomonadati; Pseudomonadota; Gammaproteobacteria; Enterobacterales; Enterobacteriaceae. The record is from RNAcentral.
AAGUGCGAAUGCUGACAUAAGUAACGAUAAAGCGGGUGAAAAGCCCGCUCGCCGGAAGACCAAGGGUUCCUGUCCAACGUUAAUCGGGGCAGGGUGAGUCGACCCCUAAGGCGAGGCCGAAAGGCGUAGUCGAUGGGAAACAGGUUAAUAUUCCUGUACUUGGUGUUACUGCGAAGGGGGGACGGAGAAGGCUAUGUUGGCCGGGCGACGGUUGUCCCGGUUUAAGCGUGUAGGCUGGUUUUCCAGGCAAAUCCGGAAAAUCAAGGCUGAGGCGUGAUGACGAGGCACUACGGUGCUGAAGCAACAAAUGCCCUGCUUCCAGGAAAAGCCUCUAAGCAUCAGGUAACAUCAAAUCGUACCCCAAACCGACACAGGUGGUCAGGUAGAGAAUACCAAGGCGCUUGAGAGAACUCGGGUGAAGGAACUAGGCAAAAUGGUGCCGUAACUUCGGGAGAAGG